ACUUCCGGGGUAAAACUUAGGCAUGAUUAACGACCUAGAAGUGUUAAACACUGUAUUUACAAUGACUUGAUAUUUAAUGUACAUAACAACGUGUUAGAUUUGUUUAAUUAUGAGACGUUAUAGAUAUGGCGAUCCGUCCAAAUCUUCUUUGAGUAGAUUUAGCACUUUUGCUUAUAUAUUUUUAUCGUGGAAUGUGCUAGGUUAUGUGGUUUAUUCAAUUUGGCAAAAAAAGAAAGAAAAAACUUCUCCGGAAUGGAAAGAAAUGUCUUCAACUGAUAAAUACCUAAGCAUGAUGAGUGUAUCUAAGGAUAUAGAGAAAGUGAGAAUCUCGGGCUUUAAGACUGUUGAUGAGAAGACUGAAAGCAGCUCAUCUGUAGAGUAAUUCACAAUGAUAGUGUCUGUUGAUGGAAUGUUACAGAUGGACAGAGUAUCAACUAGAGUGGAGAGAGUACCAAUAUAGUUGUGUGUAACCUGACUAACUUUUAAUCAUAAACAUAGGACAGAAUGUUUUAUGUAGAGAUUUUAAGAUUUGGCAUUACUAUUUGUGUCCUCACCUAAAUUUGGAGUAUGAUAGUGUGUGUGUAUGAUUUGAAUUUUCAAAAAUGAAAAAUAAACAAUCUUUUUCUAUG
This is a long non-coding RNA of Gigantopelta aegis, 629 nucleotides long. RefSeq lists it as uncharacterized. The record is from RefSeq and is a predicted model, not a curated record. Lineage: Eukaryota; Metazoa; Mollusca; Gastropoda; Neomphalida; Peltospiridae. The transcript is spliced from 3 exons.